AGCCCUGGGUUUAUGGGCCGGGCGAGAGGUUUGCGAUCUGGCUGCUGGAGACGUGGCUAAGUUACACUAUUUUGUGGAGUGUGAGCUGCUUCGCGGAGGGGAGUAGGAGGUUCUGUGCUGUCCCUGUGUCACCUGGUAUUGAAGUCCGUUGAUGAAUUGUGAAACUGAGAGUUGUAAACAUUGACAGACUGGGAAGAAGAAGCAAAUGUCUGAAUGAAUUCCCAGCAUAUACUUGUACCAUACAGUACUACACAGCCCUGAGGACUUCUUCACAGCAAAACCCCGUACCUAAUAAAACAGCAGAUGAAUUCAAGACUCCUGUCACAAUUAUACCUGCAUGCCGAGUGAGUGUAAGAGUGGGAAGCUGCCAGUUUGUAUCCCAGCCUGUCUGGUUUCAAUGGAUAGUGUGUUGCUUGGUGGCUUGACAUUUGUGUCACAUGCUGGCUUUGGGAAAUAAGUUAACCAGUAAUUUCACAGGUGUGCCCAUAUUCUUAUUGGAAGAUUAGCGAAUGGAACCACACAGCUGUGAGCUUUUUCAGAUCGUGAGAUGACAGAAUUGAGAGGUUGCACUGUGUUUCUGUGUUUCCUUGUCUCCCUGACAUUAUUUUCCUUAGCCAACUCCUCCAGGUCUGGGAAGUUUUCCCAGAAAUCUGUGGGAGUGGAAGAUGGCAUCAGGCGACUGUGCACAGAGGAAGUUCGCUCAUGGUCUGAUUUGUUUUCACCUGAUCGUCUGGAUGCCUGGAUCUGCUCUGUAAUUGGCUCACUUCUGGUGGCAAUGAGUGGUGUGUUUCCACUACUGGUAAUUCCUAUCAAGGCUGGUGCAGCACUAAAAU
Molecule: long non-coding RNA, 833 nt
Organism: Protopterus annectens (West African lungfish)
Lineage: Eukaryota; Metazoa; Chordata; Ceratodontiformes; Protopteridae
Exons: 3
Source: RefSeq, a predicted model, not a curated record